This 1317-nucleotide ribosomal RNA is filed under the name uncultured bacterium. Its description in RNAcentral is "bacterial SSU rRNA". It matches the Rfam family "Bacterial small subunit ribosomal RNA", at positions 29 to 1365 of the family's 1533-position model. The record is from RNAcentral.
GGGGAGGUGGGCGGCGUGCUUACACAUGCAGUCGAACGGUAAGGCCCUUCGGGGUACACGAGUGGCGAACGGGUGAGUAACACGUGGGUGAUCUGCCCUGCACUUUGGGAUAAGCCUGGGAAACUGGGUCUAAUACCGAAUAGGACUCCGGACUGCAUGGUCUGGGGUGGAAAGCUUUUGCGGUGUGGGAUGGGCCCGCGGCCUAUCAGCUUGUUGGUGGGGUGAUGGCCUACCAAGGCGACGACGGGUAGCCGGCCUGAGAGGGUGACCGGCCACACUGGGACUGAGAUACGGCCCAGACUCCUACGGGAGGCAGCAGUGGGGAAUAUUGCACAAUGGGCGCAAGCCUGAUGCAGCGACGCCGCGUGGGGGAUGACGGCCUUCGGGUUGUAAACCUCUUUCAGCACAGACGAAGCGCAAGUGACGGUAUGUGCAGAAGAAGGACCGGCCAACUACGUGCCAGCAGCCGCGGUAAUACGUAGGGUCCGAGCGUUGUCCGGAAUUACUGGGCGUAAAGAGCUCGUAGGUGGUUUGUCGCGUUGUUCGUGAAAACUCACAACUCAAUUGUGGGCGUGCGGGCGAUACGGGCAGACUGGAGUACUGCAGGGGAGACUGGAAUUCCUGGUGUAGCGGUGGAAUGCGCAGAUAUCAGGAGGAACACCGGUGGCGAAGGCGGGUCUCUGGGCAGUAACUGACGCUGAGGAGCGAAAGCGUGGGGAGCGAACAGGAUUAGAUACCCUGGUAGUCCACGCCGUAAACGGUGGGUACUAGGUGUGGGUUUCCUUCCUUGGGAUCCGUGCCGUAGCUAACGCAUUAAGUACCCCGCCUGGGGAGUACGGCCGCAAGGCUAAAACUCAAAGAAAUUGACGGGGGCCCGCACAAGCGGCGGAGCAUGUGGAUUAAUUCGAUGCGACGCGAAGAACCUUACCUGGGUUUGACAUGCACAGGACGCCGGCAGAGAUGUCGGUUCCCUUGUGGCCUGUGUGCAGGUGGUGCAUGGCUGUCGUCAGCUCGUGUCGUGAGAUGUUGGGGUUAAGUCCCGCAACGAGCGCAACCCUUGUCCUAUGUUGCCAGCGGGUUAUGCCGGGGACUCCUAAGAAACUGCCGGGGUCACUCCGAAGAAAGGGGGGGAUGAACUCAGUCAUCCUGGCCCCUAUGUUCCGGGGGUUUCACCAUGCUAACAAUGGGCCGGUCAAAAGGGCUCCAAUUCCCUGGAGGGGGGAGCAAAACCUCUCUAAAACGGGGCUCCCUUCUGGAAUAGGGGGGUGGGAAACCCAACCCGCGAGAGAGUGGGAAUGCCGGAGUAUUUUCUAAUAG